ACGGCGAGUGAAGCGGUAACAGCUCAAAUUUGAAAUCUGGCUCUUUCAGGGUCCGAAUUGUAAUUUGUAGAAGAUGCUUUGGGUGUCGCUCCGGUCUAAGUUCCUUGGAACAGGACGUCAUAGAGGGUGAGAAUCCCGUAUGUGACUGGAUGCGUUCGCCCGUGUAAAGCUCUUUCGACGAGUCGAGUUGUUUGGGAAUGCAGCUCAAAAUGGGUGGUAAAUUUCAUCUAAAGCUAAAUAUUGGCCAGAGACCGAUAGCGCACAAGUAGAGUGAUCGAAAGAUGAAAAGCACUUUGGAAAGAGAGUUAAACAGUACGUGAAAUUGUUGAAAGGGAAGCGCUUGCAACCAGACUCGCCAUCCGUCGAUCAUCCGGGGUUCUCCCCGGUGCACUCGACGGGUUUCGGGCCAGCAUCGGUUUCGGUGGUGGGAUAAAGGCCUUGGGAAUGUAGCUUCUUUCGGGGAGUGUUAUAGCCCUCGGUGCAAUGCCGCCUACCGGGACCGAGGACCGCGCUUCGGCUAGGAUGC
Molecule: ribosomal RNA, 526 nt
Filed under: Dasyscyphella montana
Lineage: Eukaryota; Fungi; Ascomycota; Leotiomycetes; Helotiales; Lachnaceae
Description: eukaryotic LSU rRNA
Rfam family: Eukaryotic large subunit ribosomal RNA
Source: RNAcentral